This 251-nucleotide ribosomal RNA is filed under the name uncultured bacterium. RNAcentral describes it as "partial small subunit ribosomal RNA". It matches the Rfam family "Bacterial small subunit ribosomal RNA", at positions 26 to 280 of the family's 1533-position model. The record is from RNAcentral.
AGGACGAACGCUGGCGGCGUGCUUAACACAUGCAAGUCGAACGGUGAUCCCCUUCGGGGGUGAUCAGUGGCGAACGGGUGAGUAACACGUGAGCAACCUGCCCCUGACUCUGGGAUAACCCCGGGAAACCGGAGCUAAUACCGGAUAUGACGCGCUCGGGCAUCCGAUGCGUGUGGAAAGAUUUAUCGGUCAGGGAUGGGCUCGCGGCCUAUCAGCUUGUUGGUGGGGUAAUGGCCCACCAAGGCGACGAC